GAUGAACGCUGGCGGCGUGCCUAACACAUGCAAGUCGAGCGAACGAACGGGGCUUGCUCCUGGAUUCAGCGGCCGACGGGUGGGUAAUGCCCAGGAAUCUACCUGGCCGAUGGGGCUAACAUCCGGACACGGGCGCUAAUCCCGCAUCCGUUAUGAUGGUGAACGGGAGGGUUCUUCGGUGCUCACGCUAUCUGCUGACCCUAGGACGCAUUAGCUAGUUGGUGGGGUAAGGGCUUACCAAGGCGACGAUCCGUAACUGAUCUGAGAGGGUGAUCUGCCACACUGGAACUGAGACACGGUCCAGACUCCUACGGGAGGCAGCAGUGGGGAAUAUUCGGCAAUGGGCGAAAGCCUGAUGCAGCCACGCCGCGUGAGUGAUGAAGGUCUUCGGAUCGUAAAGCUCUGUUAGUUGGGAAGAACAACUGUGUGAGUAUACCUGGCUGUCUUGACGGUACCAACAGAGAAAGCACCGGCUAACUUCGUG
This 484-nucleotide ribosomal RNA is filed under the name uncultured bacterium. RNAcentral describes it as "partial 16S ribosomal RNA". It matches the Rfam family "Bacterial small subunit ribosomal RNA", at positions 28 to 507 of the family's 1533-position model. The record is from RNAcentral.